Molecule: microRNA precursor, 194 nt
Filed under: Oryza sativa Indica Group (long-grained rice)
Lineage: Eukaryota; Viridiplantae; Streptophyta; Magnoliopsida; Poales; Poaceae
Description: MIR812 microRNA precursor family
Rfam family: MIR812 microRNA precursor family
Source: Rfam by way of RNAcentral
AAAGACUCAAUUCUUGGGUUUCCGUGUCCAACGUUUAACCGUCCAUGUUAUAUGAAAUUUUUUUAUGAUUAGUAAUUUCAUUAUUGCUAGAUAAUAAAACAUGAAUAAUACUUUAUGCAUGACUUAUAUUUUUAAUUUUUAAAUUUUUUUUUUAAAUAAGACGGAUGGUCAAAUAUUAGACACGAAAAUUUAGG